RNAcentral lists this ribosomal RNA (528 nucleotides) under Pseudomonas sp. M68copaB. RNAcentral's name for it is "bacterial SSU rRNA". It matches the Rfam family "Bacterial small subunit ribosomal RNA", at positions 87 to 611 of the family's 1533-position model. Lineage: Bacteria; Pseudomonadati; Pseudomonadota; Gammaproteobacteria; Pseudomonadales; Pseudomonadaceae. The record is from RNAcentral.
UCGAUUCAGCGGCGGACGGGUGAGUAAUGCCUAGGAAUCUGCCUGGUAGUGGGGGACAACGUUUCGAAAGGAACGCUAAUACCGCAUACGUCCUACGGGAGAAAGCAGGGGACCUUCGGGCCUUGCGCUAUCAGAUGAGCCUAGGUCGGAUUAGCUAGUUGGUGAGGUAAUGGCUCACCAAGGCGACGAUCCGUAACUGGUCUGAGAGGAUGAUCAGUCACACUGGAACUGAGACACGGUCCAGACUCCUACGGGAGGCAGCAGUGGGGAAUAUUGGACAAUGGGCGAAAGCCUGAUCCAGCCAUGCCGCGUGUGUGAAGAAGGUCUUCGGAUUGUAAAGCACUUUAAGUUGGGAGGAAGGGCAGUUUCCUAAUACGAAAUUGUUUUGACGUUACCGACAGAAUAAGCACCGGCUAACUCUGUGCCAGCAGCCGCGGUAAUACAGAGGGUGCAAGCGUUAAUCGGAAUUACUGGGCGUAAAGCGCGCGUAGGUGGUUUGUUAAGUUGAAUGUGAAAUCCCCGGGCUCA